UUUGGUGGAGAAAGGAGCGCUUCGGUCCAUUAGGGCUGAGUGAAAGUCCCCGAGCUUGGUGCUUUGUGACACCAAAUGGCAGAGAGUGCCACCUCGAAAGAGGAGAAGCCCGGUUGAGGCCACUGUGGUGUCUCGCCAUGGCCGGGUUAGCUGGCUAUAGUCCCAGUAAUGCGCUUACACACGCGUGUACAACAGAACGGGGCUUACUAUCUCCACCAA
RNAcentral lists this RNase MRP RNA (219 nucleotides) under Selaginella moellendorffii. Its description in RNAcentral is "SRP RNA RNase_MRP". It matches the Rfam family "RNase MRP". From Rfam's summary of the family: RNase MRP is an enzymatically active ribonucleoprotein with two distinct roles in eukaryotes. In mitochondria it plays a direct role in the initiation of mitochondrial DNA replication. In the nucleus it is involved in precursor rRNA processing, where it cleaves the internal transcribed spacer 1 between 18S and 5.8S rRNAs. The record is from Rfam by way of RNAcentral. Lineage: Eukaryota; Viridiplantae; Streptophyta; Lycopodiopsida; Selaginellales; Selaginellaceae.